Molecule: non-coding RNA, 471 nt
Organism: Biomphalaria pfeifferi
Lineage: Eukaryota; Metazoa; Mollusca; Gastropoda; Planorbidae
Source: the annotation of a GenBank genome assembly
ACAAAUCAUUUUACAUAGUGCGAAUAAAAGACCGAGCCUUCGGUUAGUAAGAUCGCCCUAUGAUUCAUUGUUUAUGGUAACAAUAAGAAUUGUCGCAAUCGCAAUGGAAGAAUGUUUAGAAUUCAAUGUAUCAUCUUACGACUUUGUCUCAUUUUUCAUUUCACAGCCAAGAUGAAUGAAACAAGAAAGUGGAAGUAAAAUCAUUUAAUUAAUUAAAAAUAUUUAAUGCUAUUAAUUAAGGCGAAUGGAGAUCUACAUCCAGUAUUAAAGUCAACAAAACAAAAAUGAACUCAGUCAGUGAUUUGCGAUAUCGAUAACGACCUUAACAAAAUUAACACUAAUGAAAAAUUUAUCAAUGAACAUUCAAUUCAUAAUUUCUAAAGUUAAUUAAAAAAAAAUAGCAAGUAAUAAGAAUAAAAAUGAAAAAUACAUGGGCCAUCGACUUUCCCUGAAUGACUGUAAUAUAUGAAA